RNAcentral lists this ribosomal RNA (492 nucleotides) under uncultured bacterium. RNAcentral describes it as "partial 16S ribosomal RNA". It matches the Rfam family "Bacterial small subunit ribosomal RNA", at positions 29 to 507 of the family's 1533-position model. The record is from RNAcentral.
AGUGAACGCUGGCGGUAGGCCUAACACAUGCAAGUCGAACGGCAGCACAGUAAGAGCUUGCUCUUACGGGUGGCGAGUGGCGGACGGGCGAGGAAUACAUCGGAAUCUACUUUUUCGUGGGGGAUAACGUAGGGAAACUUACGCUAAUACCGCAUACGACCUACGGGUGAAAGCAGGGGAUCUUCGGACCUUGCGCGAUUGAAUGAGCCGAUGUCGGAUUAGCUAGUUGGCGGGGUAAAGGCCCACCAAGGCGACGAUCCGUAGCUGGUCUGAGAGGAUGAUCGGCCACACUGGAACUGAGACACGGUCCAGGCUACUAAGGGAGGCAGCAGUGGGGAAUAUUGGACAAUGGGCGCAAGCCUGAUCCAGCCAUACCGCGUGGGUGAAGAAGGCCUUCGGGUUGUAAAGCCCUUUUGUUGGGAAAGAAAAGCAGCAGGUUAAUACCCCGCUGUUCUGACGGUACCCAAAGAAUAAGCACCGGCUAACUUCGUG